This is a long non-coding RNA of Gambusia affinis (western mosquitofish), 679 nucleotides long. RefSeq lists it as uncharacterized. The record is from RefSeq and is a predicted model, not a curated record. The transcript is spliced from 3 exons. Lineage: Eukaryota; Metazoa; Chordata; Actinopteri; Cyprinodontiformes; Poeciliidae.
UUCUCAAAACAGCUUCAGAGAAAAAUCCAUCAAUACGUCAAAGCAGCCUUGGAGUUUUCAUGAGUUGUGCAUGAGAUAUCGCUCAUUUACAGGCCCUAUGAAAUCACUCCUCUGACUUUGUGAGCGGUUAAUGAUAAACACAGCUGUAGCUGACAAUGUAAUGUCCUGAUUCACUGGCUCUCCGUCUCAGUAAGGUGGGGGGAGGGGGAUACUGCUGAUUCCAAGCAUGCCUUCUCACCAGGACGCCUCCUUUUUCACAUCACCCAGCUCUCUCCCUUUCUCAAACUAAUUUCAUGUUCUGUUUUUUUCCCGCCCCGCUCGCCGAGAGCUCGUCCAAACGGGUGACGUUGAUGAAUGCGUGGAAAGGAUCUGCUGCAGAAAUGCUGUUCAAACCAAACUGACGCUGUAUGAGAAGUCACCCAUGGCAGCGAAAACUUCCAUAAAGUGGUUUCCAUUCCCGGGACGAGUCUUUAACAUCGUCGUUGAGGAAUUUCUGCAGACUAACGCUUUGAGGCUUUCAGAGCUGGAAUGGCUUGUGUGCUUUGGAACGGAAAAAAACAGCCCCACACUGUCCUACUACCACCACCAUGUCUGACUGACAGUAUAAUGCUCUGGUGAAAAGCUUGGAUCUUUGCUCUGCAGAACUCUUUGCAAUCACUUUGCAUGCUGUCAUCCUGGU